Molecule: ribosomal RNA, 930 nt
Filed under: Triticum aestivum (bread wheat)
Lineage: Eukaryota; Viridiplantae; Streptophyta; Magnoliopsida; Poales; Poaceae
Description: partial small subunit ribosomal RNA
Source: RNAcentral
AUGAAGGCAGCAUUAAAAACUAUCCUCCCACAAACUCUGCAUAAGUUGUGUCGGUGGCAUAUCAUGAAGAAGUACAAGGACCACCUCGCAUUGCUGUAAAAGGCACACGAGAUGCUCAAGGACGAACUCAAUGCAGUGCUGAACCACCCACUAAUGCCGUCAGAAUUUGAACGAGCAUGGAAGAACCUCAUUCAAAGGUACAACUUGCAAGACGACGAAGUGAUGAAUUCUUUGUGGGAUGACAGGCACGAGUGGAUCUCGGCUUACUACAAGGAAAUUUUCUGUGCUCGGAUGACUUCCACACAGAGAAGCGAGAGCAUGAACCGCAUACUGAAGAAAAAAUUUGUCACGGAGAAGCAUGAUCUCCAUCUGUUUGCUCAGUAGGUGAAGUGCAUUCAGACCAGGAAGGCCAUCGAGCAUGCAGAGACAGUAGCAAAUGAGUCAGAGGUAAAAACAACAACAAAGUUUGGCUUCCAAGUUCAGCUAUCAAAAGUGUAUACAAGGGCUGUGUUUGCAGAUUUCAAAGAAACACUCUACCGUAGCACUGCAUUCAGAGCAGAACGGUGCCCUGAGAACCCGACAAAGUAUCUCAUACACCACUACAACAGAUCGGAUGCAUUUUACUGGGCAAGGCAUAAUUUCCAAGUGGUCACCGAUGAAGAGAAAGGUAUCUACGAAUGUGAGUGCAAACUCUGGACACACAUAGGCCUCUUUUGCGUCCAUGUCUUAUGCAUGCUUUCUCAUUUGAGAGUACUCAACAUUCGUGAGGUGUACAUCAUGAAAAGAUACACCCGUAAUGCAAGAUCAGAUGCAACGUUUGACCGAAGAGACUACGAACAAACAGCACCAGAUGGAACCUCGCUUUUUUGCCGUAGAAAAUUGCUGACAGAAACAGCAAUGGACCUUGCAAACAGAGCGACAAGGUCCGAU